GGCAUGGAUGAGAUAUCCAUGUUGUUGAGAUGUAGUUGGCCCAAGUCCCUGUUUCAAGGGAAAACUUACUUGCGGUCACUGCAUCAAUUUAUGAAAUUAUUGGAAUUCUCUGAGUC
Hevea brasiliensis (rubber tree) is the source of this 116-nucleotide small nucleolar RNA. RefSeq annotates it as small nucleolar RNA Z278. The record is from RefSeq and is a predicted model, not a curated record. NCBI's taxonomy places the organism in Eukaryota, Viridiplantae, Streptophyta, Magnoliopsida, Malpighiales, Euphorbiaceae. The transcript has a single exon.